UCGCACCUGUUCUACCCAGAAGAGUGGCUCAAGUUCACAUUCAGAAUUUAUUUGUUGAAAGAGUAUCUCCACUUUAUCACAAUCGAGCACUUCCAAUUCUUUCAGAAGUGGCCAGCUUGAACUAAACCUUCUAGAGCAAAAUCUUUUCAGUUGGUGUAAACCGGAGAGUGUGAGAGAGGUAAGGUUAGGGAAUAAGAGUAAAGGUGCUGCUUCAUCUUCAUUUUCAUUGGCAACAAUUGCCUCCACUCCACUCUCCGAUAUAUAUAGGUCCUCAAGAUGCACAAGAGCACUCGCCACAGAAACCGGAAAAAGGUUUAGCAGUUUGUUGCAUCCCCUUACUUGCAAUUUCCUUAAUUUGGAAAAUGAAUUUGCUGGAAGUUGGUCAGGCCACAAUGCUCUUAUAUUAUCUAGUCCGCGUACAGACAAGGACUCCAACCCUGGGAGUGCAACCUCUGCAAUUGAUGAUCCCUUUAGUUAAUAAUAUAUACAUAUACAUUCCUAAUAAUUAGACACAUGUAAAUAGAAAAUAAGAGGUUAAAGGAGAAUAUAUCAGUAUAACAAAGCACAAAAUUUAAACUAGAUUCAAGAAGAUCAAGAAAGAGAAAAGAAAAGAAAAAGCCUCCAGAUUUUGAAGAUACAAUGAAACUUAAAAAAAAAAAAAAAAACCUUCAAAUUUUCCUUUCGAAAUGAGCUAAUAAGAGGAUUUUUUUUUUCUUUUUUCUUUGCAUCUCUUUCAAAUUUGAUUAACUUCUAUGGAAAACGUAUUUUAACUAGUUAUGGAAAACGGAUAUUUUUUUUUUAACUUUUAUAUAAGAUACAAGUAAUACUUUAAAAAAAUUGUGAUAUCUAAAUAAUUUUUUGAAAAAUUAUUUUGAAAGAAAUAAGGUAAAUCUAUACUUUUUGUAUAAGAUGUUCAACCUUUAUAUACAAAUUUCUAAUUUUUUUUUUUAAAGUGUAUCCAAAUGGACACUAAACUAUCUAGUUUUUAAUUGUUACAACUUUGAAUUGGAUUUUAUGGUAAACUAAUUUACAAGUUAAUGCAUGGAUUCAUCUUAGAUUCCAUCUAUAAAUUUUUUUAAUUAUCUAAUAUAAGACAUUAUAUUAAUGGGUUGAAUUAAUAAUGUAAUUAUAAUUUAUUUGGCAACUUUCUUCCUUCAAAUAUAUAAAAUGAAAAUAAAUUUUAAAAAAUAAAAAAAAUGAAAAAAAUAAAAAAUAAAAAAAGAUUUUUUUUAUAGUUUUUCUAAGGUGAUUUUGUAGAGUAUUGUUAGUUUAUAGUUUUAACUUUAUUUCAUUUUACUUUUAACUUUAUUUAUUGAGGUAUGUUCUUUUUUGCAACUCUUGUUUAGAUUUUAUAGAGAAUAUAAAUUUUAAGAAAAAAAAUGAAAUUUAAAUAAAAUAAGAAUAAAGAAAGGCAAAAGGUGGAUGAAUUUUCUUAAGGCAAAAGUUUGAUAACUUGGCACUAUCAUGUAAUGGGUGAAAUUUUUAAAUACUCAACAAAGGCUAGUGAAAUUUAAAUUAAAAGCUUGACAUGUACCUUUUCGACCAAAAUCUUUGGAGUUGGUGUAAAGUUUUGAGUAUGAGAGAGGUUAGUAUAGGGAAUAUUAUUGCACAUUAGUUCAAAUAAAACAUCAACAUUUUUUUUUGUUAAAUUCUAAAUGAACACCACUAUAAAUUAAUGCGAUUUUGUAUGCUCAAUUAAAUAAACUCGUUCUUAAGGCAUCACAUGAAGUGUUUAAGUCUAAUUAAUAUUAAUUAAAAAUGAUUAUAUUAAAAAAAAUCCAAAGUAAUUUAUUUUUAUCAUAAGUCAAGUAGGAUAGUUUUAUAAAUAAUUGGUUCUAGUUUCUAGUAUUAUUGUACACAAUCGCUAUGUUUGUUGCACCUCCAAAAAAUCUACUACUUGUAAUUAAUUGUAUAUUAUUCUCCAUAUUCACAUCAGUUUAUGUAGUAUGAUUAAUUUAGCAACAAAAUAUAAGUUUACUUGAAAUCGCUUUAAAUUCCUAUGAUAUUAAAGUUUAAGAUUAAAACAAUGUAACAUUAGCCAAAAAGAUUAAGAUCUAUAAUGUAACAUAUAAAAUUUAGAAAAUUCAAGGAAGGGUAAACUCGCACCUGUUCUACCCAGAAGAGUGGCUCAAGUUCACAUUCAGAAUUUAUUUGUUGAAAGAGUAUCUCCACUUUAUCACAAUCGAGCACUUCCAAUUCUUUCAGAAGUGGCCAGCUUGAACUAAACCUUCUAGAGCAAAAUCUUUUGAGUUGGUGUAAACCGGAGAGUGUGAGAGAGGUAAGGUUAGGGAAUGAGAGUAAAGGUGCUGCUUCAUCUUCAUUUUCAUUGGCAACAAUUGCCUCCACUCCACUCUCCGAUAUAUAAAGGUCCUCAAGUUGCACAAGAGCACUCGCCACAGAAACCGGAAAAAGGUUUAGCAAUUUGUUGCAUCCCCUUCCUUGCAAUUUCCUUAAUUUGGAAAAUGAAUUUGCUGGAAGUUGGUCAGGCCACAAUGCUCUUAUAUUAUCUAGUCCACGUACAGACAAGGACUCCAAGCCUGGGAGUGCAACCUGUGCAAUUGAUGAUCCCUUUAGUUAAUAAUAUAUACAUAUACAUUCCUAAUAAUUAGACACAUGUAAAUAGAAAAUAAGAGGUUAAAGGAGAAUAUAUCAGUAUAACAAAGCACAAAAUUUAAACUAGAUUCAAGAAGAUCAAGAAAGAGAAAAGAAAAGAAAAAGCCUCCAGAUUUUGAAGAUACAAUGAAACUUAAAAAAAAAAAAAAAAAAACUUCCAAAUUUUCCUUUCGAAAUGAGGUAAUAAGAGGAUUUUUUUUUUCUUUUUUCUUUGCCUCUCUUUCAAAUUUGAUUAACUUCUAUGGAAAACGUAUUUUAACUAGUUAUGGAAAACCGAUUUUUUUUUUUUUAACUUUUAUAUAAGAUACAAGUAAUACUUUAAAAAAAUUGUGAUAUCUAAAUAAUUUUUUGAAAAAUUAUUUUUAAAGAAAUAAGGUAAAUCUAUACUUUUUGUACAAGAUGUUCUACCUUUAUAUACAAAUUUCUGAUUUUUUUUUUAAAAGUGUAUCCAAAUGGACACUAAACUAUCUAGUUUUUAAUUGUUACAACUUUGAAUUGGAUUUUAUGGUAAACUAAUUUACAAGUUAAUGCAUGGAUUCAUCUUAGAUUCCAUCUAUAAAUUUUUUUAAUUAUCUAAUAUAAGACAUUAUAUUAAUGAGUUGAAUUAAUAAUGUAAUUAUAAUUUAUUUGGCAACUUUCUUCCUUCAAAUAUAUAAAAUGAAAAUAAAGUUUAAAAAAUAAAAAAAAUGAAAAAAAUAAAAAAUAAAAAAUGAUUUUUUUUAUAGUUUUUCUAAGAUGAUUUUGUAGAGUACUGUUAGUUUAUAGUUUUAACUUUAUUUCAUUUUACUUUUAACUUUAUUUAUUGAGGUAUGUUCUUUUUUGAAACUCUUGUUUAGAUUUUAUAGAGAAUAUAAAUUUUAAGAAAAAAAAUGAAAUUUAAAUAAAAUAAGAAUAAAGAAAGGCAAAAGGUGGAUGAAUUUUUUUAAGGCAAAAGUUUGAUAACUUGGCACUAUCAUGUAAUGGGUGAAAUUUUUAAAUACUCAACAAAGGCUAGUGAAAUUUAAAUUAAAAGCUUGACAUGUACCUUUUCGACCAAAAUCUUUGGAGUUGGUGUAAAGUUUUGAGUAUGAGAGAGGUUAGUCUAGGGAAUAUUAUUGCACAUUAGUUCAAAUAAAACAUCAACAUUUUUUUUUUGUUAAAUUCUAAAUGAACACCGCUAUAAAUUAAUGCGAUUUUGUAUGCUCAAUUAAAUAAACUUGUUCUUAAGGCAUCACAUGAAGUGUUUAAGUCUAAUUAAUAUUAAUUAAAAAUGAUUAUAUUAAAAAAAAUCCAAAGUAAUUUAUUUUUAUCAUAAGUCAAGUAGGAUAGUUUUAUAAAUAAUUGGUUCUAGUUUCUAGUACUAUUGUACACAAUCGCUAUGUUUGUUGCACCUCCAAAAAAUCUACUACUUGUAAUUAAUUGUAUAUUAUUCUCCAUAUUCACAUCAGUUUAUGUAGUAUGAUUAAUUUAGCAACAAAAUAUAAGUUUACUUGAAAUCGCUUUAAAUUCCUAUGAUAUUAAAGUUUAAGAUUAAAACAAUGUAACAUUAGCCAAAAAGAUUAAGAUCUAUAAUGUAACAUAUAAUAUUUAGAAAAUUCAAGGAAGGGUAAACUCGCACCUGUUCUACCCAGAAGAGUGGCUCAAGUUCACAUUCAUAAUUUAUUUGUUGAAAGAGUAUCUCCACUUUAUCACAAUCGAGCACUUCCAAUUCUUUCAGAAGUGGCCAGCUUGAACUAAACCUUCUAGAGAAAAAUCUUUUGAGUUGGUGUAAACCGGAGAGUGUAAGAGAGGUAAGGUUAGGGAAUAAGAGUAAAAGUGCUGCUUCAUCUUCAUUUUCAUUGGCAACAAUUGCCUCCACUCCACUUUCCGAUAUAUAUAGGUCCUCAAGUUGCACAAGAGCACUCGCCACAGAAACCGGAAAAAGGUUUAGCAAUUUGUUGCAUCCCCUUACUUGCAAUUUCCUUAAUUUGGAAAAUGAAUUUGCUGGAAGUUGGUCAGACCACAAUGCUCUUAUAUUAUCUAGUCCGCGUACAGACAAGGACUCCAAACCUGGGAGUGCAACCUGUGCAAUUGAUGAUCCCUUUAGUUAAUAAUAUAUACAUAUACAUUCCUAAUAAUUAGACACAUGUAAAUAGAAAAUAAGAGGUUAAAGGAGAAUAUAUCAGUAUAACAAAGCACAAAAUUUAAACUAGAUUCAAGAAGAUCAAGAAAGAGAAAAGAAAAGAAAAAGCCUCCAGAUUUUGAAGAUACAAUGAAACUUAACAAAAAAAAAAAAAAACCACCAAAUUUUCCUUUCGAAAUGAGGUAAUAAGAGGAUUUUUUUUUUUUCUUUUUUCUUUGCCUCUCUUUCAAAUUUGAUUAACUUCUAUGGAAAACGUAUUUUAACUAGUUAUGGAAAACAUAUUUUUUUUUUAAAAAACUUUUCUAUAAGAUACAAGUAAUACUUUAAAAAAAUUGUGAUAUCUAAAAAAUUUUUUGAAAAAUUAUUUUUAAAGAAAUAAGGUAAAUCUAUACUUUUUGUAUAAGAUGUUCUACCUUUAUAUACAAAUUUCUGAUUUUUUUUUUAAAAGUGUAUCCAAAUGGACACUAAACUAUCUAGUUUUUAAUUGUUACAACUUUGAAUUGGAUUUUAUGGUAAACUAAUUUACAAGUUAAUGCAUGGAUUCAUCUUAGAUUCCAUCUAUAAAUUUUUUUAAUUAUCUAAUAUAAGACAUUAUAUUAAUGGGUUGAAUUAAUAAUGUAAUUAUAAUUUAUUUGGCAAGUUUCUUCCUUCAAAUAUAUAAAAUGAAAAUAAAUUUUAAAAAAUAAAAAAAAUGAAAAAAAUAAAAAAUAAAAAAAGAUUUUUUUUAUAGUUUUUCUAAGAUGAUUUUGUAGAGUACUGUUAGUUUAUAGUUUUAACUUUAUUUCAUUUUACUUUUAACUUUAUUUAUUGAGGUAUGUUCUUUUUUGAAACUCUUGUUUAGAUUUUAUAGAGGAUAUAAAUUUUCAGAAAAAAAAAAUUAAAUUUAAAUAAAAUAGGAAUAAAGAAAGGCAAAAGGUGGAUGAAUUUUUUUAAGGCAAAAGUUUGAUAACUUGGCACUAUCAUGUAAUGGGUGAAAUUUUUAAAUACUCAACAAAGGCUAGUGAAAUUUAAAUUAAAAGCUUGACAUGUACCUUUUCGACCAAAAUCUUUGGAGUUGGUGUAAAGUUUUGAGUAUGAGAGAGGUUAGUCUAGGGAAUAUUAUUGCACAUUAGUUCAAAUAAAACAUCAACAUUUUUUUUUUUGUUAAAUUCUAAAUGAACACCACUAUAAAUUAAUGCGAUUUGUAUGCUCAAUUAAAUAAACUCGUUCUUAAGGCAUCACAUGAAGUGUUUAAGUCUAAUUAAUAUUAAUUAAAAAUGAUUAUUUUAAAAAAAUCCAAAGUAAUUUAUUUUUAUCAUAAGUCAAGUAGGAUAGUUUUAUAAAUAAUUGGUUCUAGUUUCUAGUAUUAUUGUACACAAUCGCUAUGUUUGUUGCACCUCCAAAAAAUCUACUACUUGUAAUUAAUUGUAUAUUAUUCUCCAUAUUCACAUCAGUUUAUGUAGUAUGAUUAAUUUAGCAACAAAAUAUAAGUUUACUUGAAAUCGCUUUAAAUUCCUAUGAUAUUAAAGUUUAAGAUUAAAACAAUGUAACAUUAGCCAAAAAGACUAAGAUCUAUAAUGUAACAUAUAAAAUUUAGAAAAUUCAAGGAAGGGUAAACUCGCACCUGUUCUACCCAGAAGAGUGGCUCAAGUUCACAUUCAGAAUUUAUUUGUUGAAAGAGUAUCUCCACUUUAUCACAAUCGAGCACUUCCAAUUCUUUCAGAAGUGGCCAGCUUGAACUAAACCUUCUAGAGCAAAAUCUUUUGAGUUGGUGUAAACCGGAGAGUGUGAGAGAGGUAAGGUUAGGGAAUGAGAGUAAAGGUGCUGCUUCAUCUUCAUUUUCAUUGGCAACAAUUGCCUCCACUCCACUCUCCGAUAUAUAAAGGUCCUCAAGUUGCACAAGAGCACUCGCCACAGAAACCGGAAAAAGGUUUAGCAAUUUGUUGCAUCCCCUUACUUGCAAUUUCCUUAAUUUGGAAAAUGAAUUUGCUGGAAGUUGGUCAGGCCACAAUGCUCUUAUAUUAUCUAGUCCGCGUACAGACAAGGACUCCAAACCUGGGAGUGCAACCUGUGCAAUUGAUGAUCCCUUUAGUUAAUAAUAUAUACAUAUACAUUCCUAAUAAUUAGACACAUGUAAAUAGAAAAUAAGAGGUUAAAGGAGAAUAUAUCAGUAUAACAAAGCACAAAAUUUAAACUCUAUUCAAGAAGAUCCAGAAAGAGAAAAGAAAACGCCUUUUGAUUUUGAAGAUCCAAUGAAACUUUAAAAAAAAAAAAAAAAACCUCCAAAUUUUGCUUUCCAAAUGAGGUAAUAGGAGGAUAUUUUUAUUUUAUUUUUUCUUUGCCUCUCUUUCAAAUUUGAUUAACUUCCAUGGAAAACGUAUUUUAACUAGCCAUGGAAAAUGGAUUUUUUUUUUAAAACUUUUAUAUAAGAUACAAGAACUCUUAGAGGGUUACAUUAUGUAAGUAAUACUUUAAAAAAAAUGUUUAAAAAUAUUGUGAUAUCCAAAAAUUUUACUACCUCGGAUUUUAAAUUUUAAAAAAAUUAUUUUUAAAGAAAUAAGGUAAAUCUAUACUUUUUCGUAUAAGAUAUUCUACCUUUAUAUACAAAUUUCUGAUUUUUUUUUUAAAGUGUAUCCAAAUGGACACUAAACUAUCUAGUUUCGAAUUUUUACAACUUUGAAUUGGAUUUUAUGGUAAACUAAUUGACAAUAUAACGCAUGGAUUCAUCUUAGAUUCCAUCUAUAAAUUUUUUAAUUAUCUAAUAUAAGACAUUAUAUUAAUGGGUUGAAUUAAUAAUGUAAUUAUAAUUUAUUUGGCAACUUUCUUCCUUCAAAUAUAUAAGACGAAAAUAUAUUUUAAAAAAUAAAAAAGAAUGAUAAAAAAUAGAAAAUAAAAAUAGCUUAUUUUAUUGUUUUUCUAAGAUGAUUUUGUAGAGUGUUAGUUUAUAGUUUAACUUUAUUUCAUUUUACUUUUAACAUUAUUUAUUGAGGUAUGUUCUUUUUUGAAACUCUUGUUUAGAUUUUAUAGAGAAUAUAAAUUUUAAGAAAAAAAAUGAAAUUUAAAUAAAAUAAGAAUAAAGAAAGGCAAAAGGUGGAUGAAUUUUUUGAAGGCAAAAGUUUGAUAAUUUGGCACUGUCAUGUAAUGGGUGAAAUUUUUAAAUACUCAACAAAGGCUAGUGAAAUUUAAAUUAAAACCUUGACAUGUACCUUUUCGACCAAAAUCUUUGGAGUUGGUGUAAAGUUUUGAGUAUGAGAGAGGUUAGUCUAGGGAAUAUUAUUGCACAUUAGUUCAAAUAAAACAUCAACAUUUUUUUUUGUUAAAUUCUAAAUGAACACCACUAUAAAUUAAUGCGAUUUUGUAUGCUCAAUUAAAUAAACUCGUUCUUAAGGCAUCACAUGAAGUGUUUAAGUCUAAUUAAUAUUAAUUAAAAAUGAUUAUAUCAAAAAAAAUCCAAAGUAAUUUUUUUUUAUCAUAAGUCAAGUAGGAUAGUUUUAUAAAUAAUUGGUUCUAGUUUCUAGUAUUAUUGUACACAAUCGCUAUGUUUGUUGCACCUCCAAAAAAUCUACUACUUGUAAUUAAUUGUAUAUUAUUCUCCAUAUUCACAUCAGUUUAUGUAGUAUGAUUAAUUUAGCAACAAAAUAUAAGUUUACUUGAAAUCGCUUUAAAUUCCUAUGAUAUUAAAGUUUAAGAUUAAAACAAUGUAACAUUAGCCAAAAAGACUAAGAUCUAUAAUGUAACAAAUAAAAUUUAGAAAAUUCAAGGCAGGGUAAACUCGCACCUGUUCUACCCAGAAGAGUGGCUCAAGUUCACAUUCAGAAUUUAUUUGUUGAAAGAGUAUCUCCACUUUAUCACAAUCGAGCACUUCCAAUUCUUUCAGAAGUAGCCAGCUUGAACUAAACCUUCUAGAGCAAAAUCUUUUGAGUUGGUGUAAACCGGAGAGUGUGAGAGAGGUAAGGUUAGGGAAUAAGAGUAAAGGUGCUGCUUCAUCUUCAUUUUCAUUGGCAACAAUUGCCUCCACUCCACUCUCCGAUAUAUAUAGGUCCUCAAGUUGCACAAGAGCACUCGCCACAGAAACCCGAAAAAGGUUUAGCAAUUUGUUGAAUCCCCUUACAUGCAAUUUCCUUAAUUUGGAAAAUGAAUUUGUUGGAAGUUGGUCAGGCCACAAUGCUCUUAUAUUAUCCAGUCCGCAUACAUACAAGGACUCCAAGCCUUGGAGUGCAACCUGUGCAAUUGAUAAUCCCUUUGGUUAAUAAUAUAUACAUAUACAUUCCUAAUGAUUAGACACAUGUAAAUAGAAAAUAAGAGGUUAAAGGAGAAUAUAUCAGUAUAACAAAGCACAAAAUUUAAACUAGAUUAAAGAAGAUCAAGAAAGAGAAAAGAAAAGAAAAAGCCUCCAGAUUUUGAAGAUACAAUGAAACUUAAAAAAAAAAAAAAAAAACCUCCAAAUUUUCCUUUCGAAAUGAGGUAAUAAGAGGAUUUUUUUUUUCUUUUUUCUUUGCCUCUCUUUCAAAUUUGAUUAACUUCUAUGGAAAACGUAUUUUAACUAGUUAUGGAAAACGGAUUUUUUUUUUUAAAAACUUUUAUAUAAGAUACAAGUAAUACUUUAAAAAAAUUGUGAUAUCUAAAAAAUUUUUUGAAAAAUUAUUUUUAAAGAAAUAAGGUAAAUCUAUACUUUUUGUAUAAGAUGUUCUACCUUUGUAUUCAAAUUUCUGAUUUUUUUUUUUUAAAGUGUAUCCAAAUGCACACUAAACUAUCUAGUUUUUAAUUGUUACAACUUUGAAUUGGAUUUUAUGGUAAACUAAUUUACAAGUUAAUGCAUAGAUUCAUCUUAGAUUCCAUCUAUAAAUUUUUUUAAUUAUCUAAUAUAAGACAGUAUAUUAAUGGGUUGAAUUAAUAAUGUAAUUAUAAUUUAUUUGGCAACUUUCUUCCUUCAAAUAUAUAAAAUGAAAAUAAAUUUUAAAAAAUAAAAAAUAAAAAAAAGAUUUUUUUUAUAGUUUUUCUAAGAUGAUUUUGUAGAGUUCUGUUAGUUUAUAGUUUUCACUUUAUUUAUUGAGGUAUGUUCUUUUUUGAAACUCUUGUUUAGAUUUUAUUGAGAAUAUAAAUUUUAAGAAAAAAAAUAAAAUUUAAAUAAAAUAAGAAUAAAGAAAGGCAAAAGCUGGAUGAAUUUUUUUAAGGCAAAAGUUUGAUAAUUUGGCACUCUCAUGUAAUGGGUGAAAUUUUUAAAUACUCAACAAAGGCUAGUGAAAUUUAAAUUAAAACCAUGACAUGUACCUUUUAGACCAAAAUCUUUGGAGUUGGUGUAAUGUUUUGAGUAUGAGAGAGGUUAGUCUAGGGAAUAUUAUUGCACAUUAGUUCAAAUAAAACAUCAACAUUUUUUUUUGUUAAAUUCUAAAUGAACACCACUAUAAAUUAAUGCGAUUUUGUAUGCUCAAUUAAAUAAACUCGUUCUUAAGGCAUCACAUGAAGUGUUUAAGUCUAAUUAAUAUUAAUUAAAAAUGAUUAUAGUAAAAAAAAUCCAAAGUAAUUUUUUUUUAUCAUAAGUCAAGUAGGAUAGUUUUAUAAAUAAUUGGUUCUAGUUUCUAGUAUUAUUGUAGACAAUCGCUAUGUUUGUUGCACCUCCAAAAAAUCUACUACUUGUAAUUAAUUGUAUAUUAUUCUCCAUAUUCACAUCAGUUUAUGUAGUAUGAUUAAUUUAGCAACAAAAUAUAAGUUUACUUGAAAUGGCUUUAAAUUCCUAUGAUAUUAAAGUUUAAGAUUAAAACAAUGUAACAUUAGCAAAAAAGAUUAAGAUCUAUAAUGUAACAAAUAAAAUUUAGAAAAUUCAAGGCAGGGUAAACUCGCACCUGUUCUACCCAGAAGAGUGGCUCAAGUUCACAUUCAGAAUUUAUUUGUUGAAAGAGUAUCUCCACUUUAUCACAAUCGAGCACUUCCAAUUCUUUCAGAAGUAGCCAGCUUGAACUAAACCUUCUAGAGCAAAAUCUUUUGAGUUGGUGUAAACCGGAGAGUGUGAGAGAGGUAAGGUUAGGGAAUAAGAGUAAAGGUGCUGCUUCAUCUUCAUUUUCAUUGGCAACAAUUGCCUCCACUCCACUCUCUGAUAUAUAUAGGUCCUCAAGUUGCACAAGAGCACUCGCCACAGAAACCCGAAAAAGGUUUAGCAAUUUGUUGAAUCCCCUUACAUGCAAUUUCCUUAAUUUGGAAAAUGAAUUUGUUGGAAGUUGGUCAGGCCACAAUGCUCUUAUAUUAUCCAGUCCGCAUACAUACAAGGACUCCAAGCCUGGGAGUGCAACCUGUGCAAUUGAUAAUCCCUUUGGUUAAUAAUAUAUACAUAUACAUUCCUAAUAAUUAGACACAUGUAAAUAGAAAAUAAGAGGUUAAAGG
This 11071-nucleotide long non-coding RNA is filed under the name Vitis vinifera (wine grape). RNAcentral describes it as "long non-coding RNA (VVIN_LNC003280)". Lineage: Eukaryota; Viridiplantae; Streptophyta; Magnoliopsida; Vitales; Vitaceae. The record is from RNAcentral.